UCAUUUUGAAUUGCAAUAUGAAAAGUGAAUCAGCUUUACAGAUUGUUCUUCUGGGAUCCAUAAAUAUAUACAAGCAAAUAAAUGGGAAAGCGAGGAAUGGCCACCGGAACCUACUCAAGCAAACCUUUCAGAAUUCAUAUUCAAUGAAUCCAGAUCUCAAGAAGUCAACCUAUGGAACUAGGCUGUGUCUUAGCAAUUUUCCUGUGCAGAACCUUCUAAUUCCAUCUCUUUCAGGACCACCAGUUCUUCUCUUAACCAUUUAACGAAGUGUGAAAACGAGGAAGAUUUAUCAGAGUAAAGCAGCAUAAAGGAAAGAAGCCACAGCUAUGUUAUCGAAUAGGACUGAAAGCAUGGAGGGGUAAUUCAAGAUAUGCGAAAUGGGGCAGAGAAAGGACUUUCUGGAAGCAAUAGAAGAACACCAGCAAAGAUGACUAAGGGGCACCAGUGGAUGGUGUGUUGGGGCUGUGCCACUCACCUGACCUUUGUUUGGCUGAGUCACUACAGCAUACUGGGAUGGAGGGGGGAGGUGUGGCAGUGAGGUCCGGGGAGUGCAAACAUGCCAGUUGUAGCAUCAGAUUUGCUUCACCAACACAUCUGUACCACACUGACCUUUCCAGCACUACACCUCUUACCUCUCAAUGGAAGUCAGGUGAGCAGAGCAGCCCCAGCAUGCUGUCCACUCUACUAAGCAAUGCUAUCAACACUGUAGGUUGGACCUGAACUAAAUUAGUUUCACUUAGGUCACACUGAAAUCUAGGAGUCAUAUUUGUCCCAUUGGCUUCAAUGGUAAAUGUAUUCUGGAUUCACA
This is a long non-coding RNA of Podarcis raffonei (Aeolian wall lizard), 808 nucleotides long. RefSeq lists it as uncharacterized. The record is from RefSeq and is a predicted model, not a curated record. The transcript is spliced from 3 exons. NCBI's taxonomy places the organism in Eukaryota, Metazoa, Chordata, Lepidosauria, Squamata, Lacertidae.